Molecule: transfer RNA, 72 nt
Filed under: Ornithorhynchus anatinus (platypus)
Lineage: Eukaryota; Metazoa; Chordata; Mammalia; Monotremata; Ornithorhynchidae
Rfam family: tRNA
About the family: Transfer RNA (tRNA) molecules are approximately 80 nucleotides in length.
Source: Rfam by way of RNAcentral
AGCAGCGUGGCUCAGUGGAAAGAGCCCGGGCUUGGGAGUCAGAGGUCAUGGGUUCUAAUCCCUGCUCUGCUG